Molecule: ribosomal RNA, 1133 nt
Filed under: uncultured bacterium
Lineage: Bacteria
Description: bacterial SSU rRNA
Rfam family: Bacterial small subunit ribosomal RNA
Source: RNAcentral
UCUGAUUAGCUAGUUGGUGGGGUAAAGGCCCACCCAAGGCGACGAUCAGUAGCUGUCUGAGAGACGAUCAGCACACUGGGACUGAGACACGACCCAGACUCCUACGGGAGGCAGCAGUGGGGAAUUUUGGACAAUGGGCGAAAGCCUGAUCCAGCAAUGCCGCGUGUGUGAAGAAGGCCUUCGGGUUGUAAAGCACUUUUGUCCGGAAAGAAAUGGCUCUGGUUAAUACCUGGGGUCGAUGACGGUACCGGAAGAAUAAGGACCGGCUAACUACGUGCCAGCAGCCGCGGUAAUACGUAGGGUCCAAGCGUUAAUCGGAAUUACUGGGCGUAAAGCGUGCGCAGGCGGUUGUGCAAGACCGAUGUGAAAUCCCCGAGCUUAACUUGGGAAUUGCAUUGGUGACUGCACGGCUAGAGUGUGUCAGAGGGGGGUAGAAUUCCACGUGUAGCAGUGAAAUGCGUAGAGAUGUGGAGGAAUACCGAUGGCGAAGGCAGCCCCCUGGGAUAACACUGACGCUCAUGCACGAAAGCGUGGGGAGCAAACAGGAUUAGAUACCCUGGUAGUCCACGCCCUAAACGAUGUCAACUAGUUGUUGGGGAUUCAUUUCCUUAGUAACGUAGCUAACGCGUGAAGUUGACCGCCUGGGGAGUACGGUCGCAAGAUUAAAACUCAAAGGAAUUGACGGGGACCCGCACAAGCGGUGGAUGAUGUGGAUUAAUUCGAUGCAACGCGAAAAACCUUACCUACCCUUGACAUGCCACUAACGAAGCAGAGAUGCAUUAGGUGCUCGAAAGAGAAAGUGGACACAGGUGCUGCAUGGCUGUCGUCAGCUCGUGUCGUGAGAUGUUGGGUUAAGUCCCGCAACGAGCGCAACCCUUGUCUCUAGUUGCUACGAAAGGGCACUCUAGAGAGACUGCCGGUGACAAACCGGAGGAAGGUGGGGAUGACGUCAAGUCCUCAUGGCCCUUAUGGGUAGGGCUUCACACGUCAUACAAUGGUGCAUACAGAGGGUUGCCAAGCCGCGAGGUGGAGCUAAUCCCAGAAAAUGCAUCGUAGUCCGGAUCGUAGUCUGCAACCCGACUACGUGAAGCUGGAAUCGCUAGUAAUCGCGGAUCAGCAUGCCGCGUAGCUGA